Molecule: ribosomal RNA, 500 nt
Filed under: uncultured bacterium
Lineage: Bacteria
Description: partial 16S ribosomal RNA
Rfam family: Bacterial small subunit ribosomal RNA
Source: RNAcentral
AUUGAACGCUGGCGGAGUGCUUUACACAUGCAAGUCGAACGGCAGCACGGACUUCGGUCUGGUGGCGAGUGGCGAACGGGUGAGUAAUGUAUCGGAACGUGCCCAGUCGUGGGGGAUAACGUAGUGAAAAUUACGCUAAUACCGCAUACGAUCUAUGGAUGAAAGCGGGGGAUCGCAAGACCUCGCGCGAUUGGAGCGGCCGACAUCAGGUUAGGUAGUGGGUGGGGUAAAGGCCCACCAAGCCAACGAUCUGUAGCUGGUCUGAGAGGACGACCAGCCACACUGGAACUGAGACACGGUCCAGACGCCUACGGGAGGCAGCAGUGGGGAAUUUUGGACAAUGGGCGAAAGCCUGAUCCGGCCAUUCCGCGUGCAGGAUGAAGGCCCUCGGGUUGUAAACUGCUUUUGUACAGAACGAAAAGGUUUCUACUAAUACUAGGAGCUCAUGACGGUACUGUAAGAAUAAGCACCGGCUAACUACGUGCCAGCAGCCGCAGUAA